CUCUCUGUAGCCCAAUGGCAGAGGCGGCGCUUUCAAAAAGCGCGCGGUGCACGUUCGAAUCGUGCCAGAGGGA
Molecule: transfer RNA, 73 nt
Filed under: Nocardia terpenica
Lineage: Bacteria; Bacillati; Actinomycetota; Actinomycetes; Mycobacteriales; Nocardiaceae
Rfam family: tRNA
About the family: Transfer RNA (tRNA) molecules are approximately 80 nucleotides in length.
Source: Rfam by way of RNAcentral